Molecule: non-coding RNA, 73 nt
Organism: Podarcis lilfordi (Lilford's wall lizard)
Lineage: Eukaryota; Metazoa; Chordata; Lepidosauria; Squamata; Lacertidae
Source: the annotation of a GenBank genome assembly
UCCUUGCUCAGUCGGUGGAGCGUGAGGCUCUGAACCUCACGGACGUGGAUUCGAGCCCCACGUUGGGUAAAAA